This is an RNA transcript of Prosopis cineraria, 885 nucleotides long. RefSeq lists it as uncharacterized. The record is from RefSeq and is a predicted model, not a curated record. The transcript has 3 exons. NCBI's taxonomy places the organism in Eukaryota, Viridiplantae, Streptophyta, Magnoliopsida, Fabales, Fabaceae.
UUAUGGCUAAUGGAUGUCACCACAUUUCGUUGUUGGGUUUGGCAUGAGCAUUGCAUUGUUCUUUCUCAUGAUUCUGCUUGUUUCAUGUAGGUGGGAUAAAUGCGGGAGAUGGUUCGGUGCACGACGGUAGUGACGAUGUUGAAGCCUUGGUUUCGGCAAGGAAGAGAUGCCCUCUUCAAAGGCACUGUGAUUUCUUCUCUGCCAUGGGAUCCGAAGAAUAGAAUGGGGUUCAAGAUGGAUUGAAUGUGGAGGACGUGUGUGUGAAGGUCAUGAUUCAAGCAAGGCUCUGUCAGUAGUGCCCCUUGAGGAGGAAUCAAGUUAUGUUGAUGAAGGUGAUGCAAUGCAUGAGUGUGGAUUUUGUCAUGCACUACUUUGGUUUAAUGAGAGGGUGAAGAAAGGUCCUCACAGAGGUCGAUUGCUGUUUUCACUAUGUUGCUCACAAGGGAAAGUGAUGCUACCUCCUGAUUCAUUACCGCCCUCAUAUUUGCAUGAUUUGUAUUUCAAUAGAGAACUACUUGAGUGCAAGCAAUUUUUAUCGAAUAUUUGGUCAUAUAAUAACAUGUUUUCUUUUACUUCAAUGGGUGGAAGAAUGAGGGUUUUCUCUGGAUCUGGUCCGUUCUCAUAUGUGUUAAGUAGUCAAAACUAUUAUUAGAUUGGAAGUUUUUUGCUAGUAAAAGGUUUAGCUCCAUUGUACUCUUAGUUGUAUGUGUAUGACACUGAACAUGAGGUGGCUAAUUGAAUGGCUGUUGUCAGGUAAUUCAUUUUGUCACUGCUUCUUGAUUUCAUUGCAUCAAUUGGAUUUUUUUUAGAUUUGUUUGUUUUCCAUUAUCAUUUUCUUGAUUAUACUGGUCAUGUUGCAUAGUGCAAAUGGUGAUGUGUCAAAUC